UAAUACCUGGGGGGCAAGCGUUGUCCGGAUUUAUUGGGCGUAAAGGGCUCGUAGGUGGGCUGACCAGUCAAAAUUGAAAUACAAUGGCUUAACCAUUGGAACGGUUUUGAUACUAUCAGUCUUGAGUGAAAUAGAGGUAAGCGGAAUUCCUAGUGUAGCGGUGAAAUGCGUAGAUAUUAGGAGGAACACCAAAGGCGAAGGCAGCUUACUGGAUUUAUACUGACACUGAGGAGCGAAAGCGUGGGUAGCAAACAGGAUUAGAGACCCUGGUAGUCCACGCCGUAAACGAUGAGCACUUGGUGGUGGGGGAUUCGACCCCUUCACUGUCGGAGUUAACGCAUUAAGUGCUCCGCCUGGGGACUACGAUCGCAAGAUUG
Molecule: ribosomal RNA, 377 nt
Filed under: uncultured bacterium
Lineage: Bacteria
Description: bacterial SSU rRNA
Rfam family: Bacterial small subunit ribosomal RNA
Source: RNAcentral